This 865-nucleotide ribosomal RNA is filed under the name uncultured Clostridium sp. RNAcentral describes it as "bacterial SSU rRNA". It matches the Rfam family "Bacterial small subunit ribosomal RNA", at positions 8 to 887 of the family's 1533-position model. The record is from RNAcentral. Lineage: Bacteria; Bacillati; Bacillota; Clostridia; Eubacteriales; Clostridiaceae.
AGAGUUUGAUCCUGGCUCAGGAUGAACGCUGGCGGCGUGCCUAACACAUGCAAGUCGAGGGAGAUAAUCGCCGAAGGAGGUUUCGGCCGAAUUCAUGAUUAUCUUAGCGGCGGAUGGGGAGGAACGCGUGGAGAACCUGCCCUUCACAGGGGGAUAACAGUUGGAAACGGCUGUUAAACCGCAUAUGCUCACAGCACCGCAUGGUGCAGGGAGGAAAGCCGAGACGGUGAAGGAUGCUCCGCGUCGGAUUAGCCAGUUGGCGGGGUAACGGCCCACCAAAGCGAUGAUCCGUAGCGGCCUGAGAGGGCGACCGGCCACAUUGGGACUGAGACACGGCCCAAACUCCUGCGGGAGCAGCAGUGGGGGAUAUUGCACAAUGGGGGAAACCCUGAUGCAGCGACGCCGCGUGAAGGAGACGUAUUUCGGUAUGUAAACUUCUAUCAGCAGGGAAGAAGAUGACGGUACCUGACUAGAAGCCCCGGCUAACUACGUGCCAGCAGCCGCGGUAAUACGUAGGGGGCAAGCGUUAUCGGAUUUACUGGGUGUAAAGGGAGCGUAGACGGCGGUGCAAGUCUGAUGUGAAAACCCGGGCUCAACUCCGGGAUUGCAUUGGAAACUGUACUGCUGGAGUACUGGAGGGGCAGGCGGAUUCCUGGUGUAGCGGUGAAAUGCGUAGAUAUCAGGAGGAACACCGGUGGCGAAUGCGGCUGCUGGACAGUAACUGACGUUGAGGCUCGAAAGCGUGGGGAGCAAACAGGAUUAGAUACCUGGUAGUCCACGCCGUAACGAUGAAUACUAUGUGUGGGAGGGCAUUGCCCUUCGGUGCGCAGCAACGCAAUAAGUAUUCCACCUGGGGAGUACGUUC